Molecule: transfer RNA, 71 nt
Filed under: Microcaldota archaeon
Lineage: Archaea; Nanobdellati; Microcaldota
Description: tRNA-Gly
Rfam family: tRNA
About the family: Transfer RNA (tRNA) molecules are approximately 80 nucleotides in length.
Source: RNAcentral
GCGCCCGUUGUUUAGCGGUAGAAUCCGACCUUGCCAAGGUCGUGGCCCGGGUUCGAUUCCCGGCGGGCGCA